CGGCGGACGGGUGAGUAACGCGUGGACAACCUGCCCUAUGCAGGGGGAUAACAUCCGGAAACGGGUGCUAAUACCGCAUAAGCGCACAGUACCGCAUGGUACGGUGUGAAAAGCUGAGGCGGCAUAGGAUGGGUCCGCGUUGGAUUAGGCAGUUGGCGGGGUAACGGCCCACCAAACCGACGAUCCAUAGCCGGCCUGAGAGGGUGGACGGCCACAUUGGGACUGAGACACGGCCCAGACUCCUACGGAAGGCAGCAG
RNAcentral lists this ribosomal RNA (258 nucleotides) under uncultured bacterium. Its description in RNAcentral is "partial 16S ribosomal RNA". It matches the Rfam family "Bacterial small subunit ribosomal RNA", at positions 96 to 354 of the family's 1533-position model. The record is from RNAcentral.